This 87-nucleotide non-coding RNA is filed under the name marine eukaryotic metagenome. RNAcentral describes it as "Glycine riboswitch". It matches the Rfam family "Glycine riboswitch aptamer", at positions 7 to 88 of the family's 94-position model. Rfam says of the family: This family represents the bacterial glycine riboswitch. Glycine riboswitches usually consist of two metabolite-binding aptamers domains with similar structures in tandem. The record is from RNAcentral.
CUCUCUGCGGGAGAGAGCAGCCACCGAUGGUGGGCUGCCGCCGAAGGCGCAACCGCCCGGAAUCGCUCAGGCAAACGAACCGCAGAC